UCACUCUGUUGCCUGAGGCGCGAUACCUCCUCUCAACGCAUUGCUGAAGAAUUCGCUCUUGAUUUUCCCUCAUGCAUACGAUCUUCUCCUCAAGCACUUUAAUGCGCUCAUCAGCAACAUAAUUUGUCACCGUAGCUGUCUUGCGGGAAGUGAGAGCUGCUGAAUGAGUCUGGGUAUAAAGUUGAAGCAUGAGAACCCAAACCAUACACACGUCGCU
Molecule: unclassified non-coding RNA, 217 nt
Filed under: Hevea brasiliensis (rubber tree)
Lineage: Eukaryota; Viridiplantae; Streptophyta; Magnoliopsida; Malpighiales; Euphorbiaceae
Source: RNAcentral